CCUACGGUGGGCUGCAGUGGGGAAUAUUGGGCAAUGGGCGAAAGCCUGACCCAGCAACGCCGCGUGAAGGAAGAAGGCUUUCGGGUUGUAAACUUCUUUUGACAGGGAAGAGCAGAAGACGGUACCUGUCGAAUAAGCCACGGCUAACUACGUGCCAGCAGCCGCGGUAAUACGUAGGUGGCAAGCGUUGUCCGGAUUUACUGGGUGUAAAGUGCGUGUAGCCGGGCUGACAAGUCUGAAGUGAAAGCCCAAGGCUCAACCAUGGGACUGCUUUGGAAACUGUAAAACUGGAGUGCAGGAGAGGUAAGCGGAAUUCCUAGUGUAGCGGUGAAAUGCGUAGAUAUUAGGAAGAACACCAGUGGCGAAGGCGGCUUGCUGGACAGUAACUGACGUUGAGGCUCGAAAGCGUGGGGAGCAAACAGGAUUAGAUACCCCUGUAGUC
Molecule: ribosomal RNA, 442 nt
Filed under: uncultured bacterium
Lineage: Bacteria
Description: partial 16S ribosomal RNA
Rfam family: Bacterial small subunit ribosomal RNA
Source: RNAcentral